This 492-nucleotide ribosomal RNA is filed under the name uncultured bacterium. RNAcentral's name for it is "partial 16S ribosomal RNA". It matches the Rfam family "Bacterial small subunit ribosomal RNA", at positions 28 to 507 of the family's 1533-position model. The record is from RNAcentral.
GGUGAACGCUGGCGGUAGGCCUAACACAUGCAAGUCGAACGGCAGCACAGUAAGAGCUUGCUCUUACGGGUGGCGAGUGGCGGACGGGUGAGGAAUACAUCGGAAUCUACUUUUUCGUGGGGGAUAACGUAGGGAAACUUACGCUAAUACCGCAUACGACCUACGGGUGAAAGCAGGGGAUCUUCGGACCUUGCGCGAUUGAAUGAGCCGAUGUCGGAUUAGCUAGUUGGCGGGGUAAAGGCCCACCAAGGCGACGAUCCGUAGCUGGUCUGAGAGGAUGAUCAGCCACACUGGAACUGAGACACGGUCCAGACUCCUACGGGAGGCAGCAGUGGGGAAUAUUGGACAAUGGGCGAAAGCCUGAUCCAGCCAUACCGCGUGGGUGAAGAAGGCCUUCGGGUUGUAAAGCCCUUUUGUUGGGAAAGAAAAGCAGCAGGUUUAUACCCCGCUGUUCUGACGGUACCCAAAGAAUAAGCACCGGCUAACUUCGUG